Small nucleolar RNA from Varanus komodoensis (Komodo dragon), 129 nucleotides. Its record names the gene SNORD22. It matches the Rfam family "Small nucleolar RNA SNORD22". From Rfam's summary of the family: U22 is a member of the C/D class of snoRNA which contain the C (UGAUGA) and D (CUGA) box motifs. U22 is encoded within the U22 snoRNA host gene (UHG) in mammals and has also been identified in Xenopus. U22 is thought to as a 2'-O-ribose methylation guide for ribosomal RNA. The record is from Ensembl. Lineage: Eukaryota; Metazoa; Chordata; Lepidosauria; Squamata; Varanidae.
UCCCUAGGAAGAGUUCCUGCCGUGUCUUAGAGCCUGCCUGGCCACCAGAGCCUGUGAAGGUUGAACCCACUGGUGGCCAGCAGAGCGAAAGGAGGAGCCUCCAUUCCAGAAGGAACCGUCUGAUGGGAU